CCGAGAGUGGUGAAGUGGAAUACACAGGUGACUUAAAAUCACCCGCUUAAUUGCUCGAGGGUUCGAAUCCCUCCUCUCGGA
Molecule: transfer RNA, 81 nt
Filed under: Salmonella phage Arash
Lineage: Duplodnaviria; Heunggongvirae; Uroviricota; Caudoviricetes
Rfam family: tRNA
About the family: Transfer RNA (tRNA) molecules are approximately 80 nucleotides in length. Their secondary structure includes four short double-helical elements and three loops (D, anti-codon, and T loops).
Source: Rfam by way of RNAcentral